CGGCUUAGAUCAGGGUCCUUUACUUUAUACACUUGAAGCAACCCUAUUGCAGGUUUCUGAGGAUUAAACCAAACAUCAAAACUAAUCAAGAACUCCUUCUUGAUUAUUUUUCUCUCUCUCUAAGGCCUCCUUUCUCUUAGAUCAGAUCUAGAAGAGGAAGAACUGGGGUGUGGAAAGGAGGAAACAAGAGGAGUUGGCAUGGAGG
This 205-nucleotide long non-coding RNA is filed under the name Elaeis guineensis (African oil palm). RNAcentral describes it as "long non-coding RNA (EGUI_LNC012482)". The record is from RNAcentral. Lineage: Eukaryota; Viridiplantae; Streptophyta; Magnoliopsida; Arecales; Arecaceae.